This is a long non-coding RNA of Pogoniulus pusillus (Red-fronted tinkerbird), 1492 nucleotides long. RefSeq lists it as uncharacterized. The record is from RefSeq and is a predicted model, not a curated record. Lineage: Eukaryota; Metazoa; Chordata; Aves; Piciformes; Lybiidae. The transcript has 3 exons.
GUGGAAGGAGCAGUGAUUACUCCAAAAAUCAUGGCCCACCAAUGGAAGACUAAACAGCAGACUAUCAGAAAGACAAAAUCAAGAUUCUUGGGCAUGAUUUGGUCAUUAUGGGAGGUGAGGAAUCUUGAGUUUGCCUUUGAGUAAGGCAAAGAUUGGAUUUGAACUUGAGCUGUCCUUAAUGCCUGAUGCUUACCACUGGUGUCGGGAGUGAAAAAAGGGUGAAUGAGGGGAACCUUAAAGAAAGCUUUAUCCAAGGAGCCCAGACAAACUUCUUUGGUAAACAGGAAUGGGAACAGAGACCUGGUGCUGCAGUUAUCCAAGCCUUCCAAGGACUCAGUCAUCACCUCUAAACUGGAGAGAAUAUCUCUUAUGGACCUUCAGAAAGAGCAAGAAAACUUAGAACAAUGCACACUGGAGGCACAGUUACCGAAGAAGCUGAAGCUCUAUUUCUGAAUUAAUCUUCGGUUUGAGUUUGGAUCUGUACAAGAAGCCAAUACUCUGAACUGCCACAGGACUGCCUUCAGUGCACAACAUGACAGGCACUAUACCUUCUCUGUGCUGAUAUAUUUAUUGCUUCUGUCUUCUUAUACAGAGCAAGUACUGCGAGCAACAUCUGGCAAAUGAUUUAUAACAGCUGGCUGUGUUAAAUGUCAAUUAGUUACAAUGAGUUUCAGCAUUUUCUCAUGGCUGACCUGAGCACCGGCAAUCAGACUAGAACACUACUCACAUGCAAAUGAAGCACAGUUUUCUGUUUGAGGAACACUGGGGCUAAAUGAGCAAUGUCUUGCUUUUCAUCUGAGAUCAGCUUUUUGUCAUUGCCUGACUUGCUUACUUUCAUCUCCCUUUUCUUGCAGUUACCUGUAUUAUUUGUUUUUAUAUUUAGCAGUGGUAUGCCUUAUCUCUGGUAAAGCCUCCCUGUCAAAUCAUUGUGGAACAGCACUUCCUCACUCACUCUGCUCAUCCUCUUGGGACUGGUCAAGUGUGCUGAUGUUAUUUGGUCCAGACAAAAUUAAGAAUAGAAAAAAUGCAGCUGGGUGUACUGGGAAGCAUGCUCAUAAGAGGCACCAGUGUAUUAUGUUAUUUUCACACUGGUGGGGAAAAAGCAGUGCUCAGUGCGGUUCAAAAAAUGCUCCUUUUCUUUGGCAGGCUGAACACCUUUGACCUUCUGUGUUGUUAUCUGUGAAAACAGAAGUGGCAUGGAAUCUCCUCUAAGAGAAGUCAUAACUUGGGAAUUACAGGGUACAUUUUCAAGGGCCAUCAGAUGUUGCAAUUUUAAAGGACCUUUUUGACUUCUGAUUAAAACAACUUCCAGCAUUUGUUCUCCUCCACCUCCUCAUAAAGCUGUCACUGUUUUCAAUCCUUCUGUUCUCUUCUCAUCCUAUUUAAAAUGAAAUGAAACUGAUGGCCUCUGGUCCAGUGGUUUUGAGAAACUUUGAGGUGCCAGCCUGGCUAAUGUAGCUUAUCCUCAACAAAUGCACUAAUAAUCCACCAA